Molecule: ribosomal RNA, 227 nt
Filed under: uncultured bacterium
Lineage: Bacteria
Description: partial 16S ribosomal RNA
Rfam family: Bacterial small subunit ribosomal RNA
Source: RNAcentral
CCCUAGCCCUUCAGAGGGGGACAACAGUUGGAAACGACUGCUAAUACCGCAUACGAUCCAAUCUCGGCAUCGAGACUGGGUGAAAGGUGGCCUCUAUUUAUAAGCUAUCACUGAAGGAGGGGAUUGCGUCUGAUUAGCUAGUUGGAGGGGUAACGGCCCACCAAGGCGAUGAUCAGUAGCCGGUCUGAGAGGAUGAACGGCCACAUUGGGACUGAGACACGGCCCAG